GAUGAAGAACGUAGCGAAAUGCGAUAAGUAGUGUGAAUUGCAGAAUUCAGUGAAUCAUCGAAUCUUUGAACGCACAUUGCGCCUUCUAGUAUUCUGGGAGGCAUGCCUGUUUGAGCGUCAUUAAACCUCUCUCAAGUAUGAUUACUUGGAUGUGAAGGAAGAGUACCUUAAACUUAAGAAGUGUUCUCCUUUGAAAUUGAUUAGCAGAUGGUAAUGUUAUUAAAUCCCUGAUGUUGUAAGAAAUAACAGUGGUUUUGUAGACUAUUAUCUAGCUUUAAAUUAUAAUUUUUAUUAUGGUUGACCUCAAAUCAGGUAAGGAUACCCGCUGAACUUAAGCAUAUCAAUAAGCGGAGGA
Molecule: unclassified non-coding RNA, 355 nt
Filed under: soil metagenome
Description: partial contains 5.8S ribosomal RNA, internal transcribed spacer 2, and large subunit ribosomal RNA
Rfam family: 5.8S ribosomal RNA (bases 1-120)
Source: RNAcentral